UAGCUAGUUGGUGAGGUAACGGCCCACCAAGGCGACGAUCGGUAGCCGGACUGAGAGGUUGAACGGCCACAUUGGGACUGAGACACGGCCCAGACUCCUACGGGAGGCAGCAGUGGGGAAUAUUGCACAAUGGGGGAAACCCUGAUGCAGCGACGCCGCGUGGAGGAAGAAGGUCUUCGGAUUGUAAACUCCUGUUGUUGAGGAAGAUAAUGACGGUACUCAACAAGGAAGUGACGGCUAACUACGUGCCAGCAGCCGCGGUAAAACGUAGGUCACAAGCGUUGUCCGGAAUUACUGGGAGUAAAGGGAGCGCAGGCGGGAAGACAAGUUGGAAGUGAAAUCCAUGGGCUCAACCCAUGAACUGCUUUCAAAACUGUUUUUCUUGAGUAGUGCAGAGGUAGGCGGAAUUCCCGGUGUAGCGGUGGAAUGCGUAGAUAUCGGGAGGAACACCAGUGGCGAAGGCGGCCUACUGGGCACCAACUGACGCUGAGGCUCGAAAGUGUGGGUAGCAAACAGGAUUAGAUACCCUGGUAGUCCACACCGUAAACGAUGAUUACUAGGUGUUGGAGGAUUGACCCCUUCAGUGCCGCAGUUAACACAGUAAGUAAUCCACCUGGGGAGUACGACCGCAAGGUUGAAACUCAAAGGAAUUGACGGGGGCCCGCACAAGCAGUGGAGUAUGUGGUUUAAUUCGACGCAACGCGAAGAACCUUACCAAGUCUUGACAUCCUGCGACGCACAUAGAAAUAUGUGUUUCCUUCGGGACGCAGAGACAGGUGGUGCAUGGUUGUCGUCAGCUCGUGUCGUGAGAUGUUGGGUUAAGUCCCGCAACGAGCGCAACCCUUAUGGUCAGUUACUACGCAAGAGGACUCUGGCCAGACUGCCGUUGACAAAACGGAGGAAGGUGGGGAUGACGUCAAAUCAUCAUGCCCUUUAUGACUUGGGCUACACACGUACUACAAUGGCGUUAAACAAAGAGAAGCAAGACCGCGAGGUGGAGCAAAACUCAGAAACAACGUCCCAGUUCGGACUGCAGGCUGCAACUCGCCUGCACGAAGUCGGAAUUGCUAGUAAUCGCAGAUCAGCAUGCUGCGGUGAAUACGUUCCCGGGCCUUGUACACACCGCCCGUCACACCAUGAGAGCCGGGGGGACCCGAAGUCGGUAGUCUAACCGCAAGGAGGACGCCGCCGAAGGUAAAACUGGUGAUUGGGGUGAAGUCGUAACAAGGUAA
RNAcentral lists this ribosomal RNA (1232 nucleotides) under metagenome. RNAcentral describes it as "bacterial SSU rRNA". It matches the Rfam family "Bacterial small subunit ribosomal RNA", at positions 242 to 1499 of the family's 1533-position model. The record is from RNAcentral.